This 63-nucleotide non-coding RNA is filed under the name Hyphomicrobiales bacterium. Lineage: Bacteria; Pseudomonadati; Pseudomonadota; Alphaproteobacteria; Hyphomicrobiales. The record is from RNAcentral.
GGAAGCCAGUGAAAUUCUGGUGCGGUCGCGCCACUGUAAUCGCCGGAACAGCGAAAGCCAGAC